UUUCCGUAGGUGAACCUGCGGAAGGAUCAUUGUCGAAGCCUGCCCAGCAGAACGACCCGCGAACUUGUAUAACCAACCGGGGGCAGGGGCGAUCUCGCCCCGUGCCCUCGAACGGCAGGGCGGCACUCGUGCCUUCUUGUCGAACAACAAGCCCCGGCGCGGUCUGCGCCGAGGAACUUCAAUUAAAGAGUGCCUCCGGUCGCCUCGGAAACGAUGCGCGUGUCGGAAGGGAAUCUUGUAAAAUACCAUAACGACUCUCGGCAACGGAUAUCUCGGCUCUC
This 281-nucleotide unclassified non-coding RNA is filed under the name plant metagenome. RNAcentral describes it as "partial contains small subunit ribosomal RNA, internal transcribed spacer 1, and 5.8S ribosomal RNA". The record is from RNAcentral.